CGGGCAUAUCUGACCAACAACUCCACACCGAGCGACCCAGAGGCCCUUCCUGAGGCUGGGCUGAGACGGGAUGUCAGUGCACAGGACGGAGAAGCAGAUGACAAUGAUGCCGAGUCUGGGAAGCAAGAAUCUGAUGAGCCAGACACAACGGACAGUGAGGAGAAGUAUGAAGAUGAGAUCCUACAAGAAGCUGAGGCUGACGGGAAAUAUUUUUGCACCAAAGACAAAGCUCAUGUGCAGCAGAGGAAGAGAAAAAGAGGACAGGAUCCCUGGAUAAAAGGAUCUAAGAAGUCAAUGAGAGGAAAAAA
Molecule: non-coding RNA, 308 nt
Organism: Lonchura striata (white-rumped munia)
Lineage: Eukaryota; Metazoa; Chordata; Aves; Passeriformes; Estrildidae
Source: RefSeq, a predicted model, not a curated record